ACGACUGUAGCUCAGUUGGUUAGAGCACCACCUUGACAUGGUGGGGGUCGGUGGUUCGAGUCCACUCAGUCGUACCA
This 77-nucleotide transfer RNA is filed under the name Celerinatantimonas diazotrophica. RNAcentral's name for it is "tRNA-Val". It matches the Rfam family "tRNA". From Rfam's summary of the family: Transfer RNA (tRNA) molecules are approximately 80 nucleotides in length. Their secondary structure includes four short double-helical elements and three loops (D, anti-codon, and T loops). RNAcentral also lists the same sequence under 1 other name. The record is from RNAcentral. Lineage: Bacteria; Pseudomonadati; Pseudomonadota; Gammaproteobacteria; Celerinatantimonadaceae.